CAUGUAGGCGGACUGUUAAGUCUGGUGUGAAAGCCCGGGGCUCAACCCCGGAAGUGCAUCGGAUACUGGCAGUCUUGAGUAUGGGAGAGGAAAGUGGAAUUCCGAGUGUAGGAGUGAAAUCCGUAGAUAUUCGGAGGAACACCAGUGGCGAAGGCGGCUUUCUGGACCAAUACUGACGCUGAGAUGCGAAAGCGUGGGGAGCAAACAGGAUUAGAUACCCUGGUAGUCC
This 229-nucleotide ribosomal RNA is filed under the name uncultured bacterium. RNAcentral's name for it is "partial 16S ribosomal RNA". It matches the Rfam family "Bacterial small subunit ribosomal RNA", at positions 568 to 796 of the family's 1533-position model. The record is from RNAcentral.